GGUUAAGCGACUAAGCGUACACGGUGGAUGCCCUGGCAGUCAGAGGCGAUGAAGGACGUGCUAAUCUGCGAUAAGCGUCGGUAAGGUGAUAUGAACCGUUAUAACCGGCGAUUUCCGAAUGGGGAAACCCAGUGUGUUUCGACACACUAUCAUUAACUGAAUCCAUAGGUUAAUGAGGCGAACCGGGGGAACUGAAACAUCUAAGUACCCCGAGGAAAAGAAAUCAACCGAGAUUCCCCCAGUAGCGGCGAGCGAACGGGGAGCAGCCCAGAGCCUGAAUCAGUGUGUGUGUUAGUGGAAGCGUCUGGAAAGGCGCGCGAUACAGGGUGACAGCCCCGUACACAAAAAUGCACAUGCUGUGAGCUCGAUGAGUAGGGCGGGACACGUGGUAUCCUGUCUGAAUAUGGGGGGACCAUCCUCCAAGGCUAAAUACUCCUGACUGACCGAUAGUGAACCAGUACCGUGAGGGAAAGGCGAAAAGAACCCCGGCGAGGGGAGUGAAAAAGAACCUGAAACCGUGUACGUACAAGCAGUGGGAGCACGCUUAGGCGUGUGACUGCGUACCUUUUGUAUAAUGGGUCAGCGACUUAUAUUCUGUAGCAAGGUUAACCGAAUAGGGGAGCCGAAGGGAAACCGAGUCUUAACUGGGCGUUAAGUUGCAGGGUAUAGACCCGAAACCCGGUGAUCUAGCCAUGGGCAGGUUGAAGGUUGGGUAACACUAACUGGAGGACCGAACCGACUAAUGUUGAAAAAUUAGCGGAUGACUUGUGGCUGGGGGUGAAAGGCCAAUCAAACCGGGAGAUAGCUGGUUCUCCCCGAAAGCUAUUUAGGUAGCGCCUCGUGAAUUCAUCUCCGGGGGUAGAGCACUGUUUCGGCAAGGGGGUCAUCCCGACUUACCAACCCGAUGCAAACUGCGAAUACCGGAGAAUGUUAUCACGGGAGACACACGGCGGGUGCUAACGUCCGUCGUGAAGAGGGAAACAACCCAGACCGCCAGCUAAGGUCCCAAAGUCAUGGUUAAGUGGGAAACGAUGUGGGAAGGCCCAGACAGCCAGGAUGUUGGCUUAGAAGCAGCCAUCAUUUAAAGAAAGCGUAAUAGCUCACUGGUCGAGUCGGCCUGCGCGGAAGAUGUAACGGGGCUAAACCAUGCACCGAAGCUGCGGCAGCGACACUAUGUGUUGUUGGGUAGGGGAGCGUUCUGUAAGCCUGUGAAGGUGUGCUGUGAGGCAUGCUGGAGGUAUCAGAAGUGCGAAUGCUGACAUAAGUAACGAUAAAGCGGGUGAAAAGCCCGCUCGCCGGAAGACCAAGGGUUCCUGUCCAACGUUAAUCGGGGCAGGGUGAGUCGACCCCUAAGGCGAGGCCGAAAGGCGUAGUCGAUGGGAAACAGGUUAAUAUUCCUGUACUUGGUGUUACUGCGAAGGGGGGACGGAGAAGGCUAUGUUGGCCGGGCGACGGUUGUCCCGGUUUAAGCGUGUAGGCUGGUUUUCCAGGCAAAUCCGGAAAAUCAAGGCUGAGGCGUGAUGACGAGGCACUACGGUGCUGAAGCAACAAAUGCCCUGCUUCCAGGAAAAGCCUCUAAGCAUCAGGUAACAUCAAAUCGUACCCCAAACCGACACAGGUGGUCAGGUAGAGAAUACCAAGGCGCUUGAGAGAACUCGGGUGAAGGAACUAGGCAAAAUGGUGCCGUAACUUCGGGAGAAGGCACGCUGAUAUGUAGGUGAAGUCCCUCGCGGAUGGAGCUGAAAUCAGUCGAAGAUACCAGCUGGCUGCAACUGUUUAUUAAAAACACAGCACUGUGCAAACACGAAAGUGGACGUAUACGGUGUGACGCCUGCCCGGUGCCGGAAGGUUAAUUGAUGGGGUUAGCGCAAGCGAAGCUCUUGAUCGAAGCCCCGGUAAACGGCGGCCGUAACUAUAACGGUCCUAAGGUAGCGAAAUUCCUUGUCGGGUAAGUUCCGACCUGCACGAAUGGCGUAAUGAUGGCCAGGCUGUCUCCACCCGAGACUCAGUGAAAUUGAACUCGCUGUGAAGAUGCAGUGUACCCGCGGCAAGACGGAAAGACCCCGUGAACCUUUACUAUAGCUUGACACUGAACAUUGAGCCUUGAUGUGUAGGAUAGGUGGGAGGCUUUGAAGUGUGGACGCCAGUCUGCAUGGAGCCGACCUUGAAAUACCACCCUUUAAUGUUUGAUGUUCUAACGUUGACCCGUAAUCCGGGUUGCGGACAGUGUCUGGUGGGUAGUUUGACUGGGGCGGUCUCCUCCUAAAGAGUAACGGAGGAGCACGAAGGUUGGCUAAUCCUGGUCGGACAUCAGGAGGUUAGUGCAAUGGCAUAAGCCAGCUUGACUGCGAGCGUGACGGCGCGAGCAGGUGCGAAAGCAGGUCAUAGUGAUCCGGUGGUUCUGAAUGGAAGGGCCAUCGCUCAACGGAUAAAAGGUACUCCGGGGAUAACAGGCUGAUACCGCCCAAGAGUUCAUAUCGACGGCGGUGUUUGGCACCUCGAUGUCGGCUCAUCACAUCCUGGGGCUGAAGUAGGUCCCAAGGGUAUGGCUGUUCGCCAUUUAAAGUGGUACGCGAGCUGGGUUUAGAACGUCGUGAGACAGUUCGGUCCCUAUCUGCCGUGGGCGCUGGAGAACUGAGGGGGGCUGCUCCUAGUACGAGAGGACCGGAGUGGACGCAUCACUGGUGUUCGGGUUGUCAUGCCAAUGGCACUGCCCGGUAGCUAAAUGCGGAAGAGAUAAGUGCUGAAAGCAUCUAAGCACGAAACUUGCCCCGAGAUGAGUUCUCCCUGACUCCUUGAGAGUCCUGAAGGAACGUUGAAGACGACGACGUUGAUAGGCCGGGUGUGUAAGCGCAGCGAUGCGUUGAGCUAACCGGUACUAAUGAACCGUGAGGCUUAACCUU
This 2903-nucleotide ribosomal RNA is filed under the name Escherichia coli. Its description in RNAcentral is "23S ribosomal RNA". It matches the Rfam family "Bacterial large subunit ribosomal RNA". Lineage: Bacteria; Pseudomonadati; Pseudomonadota; Gammaproteobacteria; Enterobacterales; Enterobacteriaceae. The record is from RNAcentral.